RNAcentral lists this ribosomal RNA (867 nucleotides) under uncultured bacterium. RNAcentral describes it as "bacterial SSU rRNA". It matches the Rfam family "Bacterial small subunit ribosomal RNA", at positions 630 to 1505 of the family's 1533-position model. The record is from RNAcentral.
AAACUGCCGGGCUCGAGUGGGCGAGAAGUAUGCGGAAUGCGUGGUGUAGCGGUGAAAUGCAUAGAUAUCACGCAGAACCCCGAUUGCGAAGGCAGCAUACCGGCGCCCGACUGACGCUGAGGCACGAAAGUGCGGGGAUCAAACAGGAUUAGAUACCCUGGUAGUCCGCACAGUAAACGAUGAAUGCUAGCUGUCCGGGGGGAUUGACCCCUGGGUGGCACAGCGAAAGCGUUAAGCAUUCCACCUGGGGAGUACGCCGGCAACGGUGAAACUCAAAGGAAUUGACGGGGGCCCGCACAAGCGGAGGAACAUGUGGUUUAAUUCGAUGAUACGCGAGGAACCUUACCCGGGCUCAAACGCAUAAUGACGACAGUUGAAAGAUUGUUUCCCUUCGGGGCAUUAUGCGAGGUGCUGCAUGGUUGUCGUCAGCUCGUGCCGUGAGGUGUCGGCUUAAGUGCCAUAACGAGCGCAACCCCUAUCGACAGUUGCUAACGAGUCGAGUCGAGGACUCUGUCGAGACUGCCGGCGCAAGCUGUGAGGAAGGCGGGGAUGACGUCAAAUCAGCACGGCCCUUACGUCCGGGGCGACACACGUGUUACAAUGGCAGGUACAGCGGGAUGCCACGGGGCGACCCGGCGCUGAACCCGAAAACCUGUCUCAGUUCGGAUUGGAGUCUGCAACCCGACUCCAUGAAGCUGGAUUCGCUAGUAAUCGCGCAUCAGCCACGGCGCGGUGAAUACGUUCCCGGGCCUUGUACACACCGCCCGUCAAGCCAUGGAAGCCGGGGGUACCUGAAGUGCGUGACCGCGAGGAGCGCCCUAAGGUAAAACCGGUGACUGGGGCUAAGUCGUAACAAGGUAGCCGUAA